RNAcentral lists this long non-coding RNA (31121 nucleotides) under Fragaria vesca (wild strawberry). RNAcentral describes it as "long non-coding RNA (FVES_LNC003143)". The record is from RNAcentral. Lineage: Eukaryota; Viridiplantae; Streptophyta; Magnoliopsida; Rosales; Rosaceae.
CUCUCUCUCUCUCUCUCUCUCUCUCUCUCUCGGAUUGAAAUAAUGAAGCAUGUAAUAACUACUGUAGCUAGCGCGCAGCAGCAGAAGAACCUCUGAGGGAUUCAGGCAUUCAGCGCUAGCUGCUUCUGAGUUGUGGGCUUGUGGCAGAGAUGUAUAUAGUUGUGGUCUUGUCUUGGCUGGCAGUUGGCACUGACUUCCCCGUGCACUACUAUAAUAUUCAUAUGUAGAAAUAUCAGUUGAUUUAUUCAAAAACAAAAGAAAAAAUAAAAGAAAUUUCAUCUCGAUCUGUGUACGUAUGUAUAUAUAUACGACAUAUAUAUAUGAUUCUGACACGUACAGACACAGCGAAACACUCCUCUUUCUCUCUCGCUCUGUGUAAAGCCCUAGCUAGCUUAGGCUAGUGGUGAUUGUUAUGGGACUCUUCAUUAAAAUGGGGUGGGGAGAUCGAGCUAGACGUCUGAGACAGAGAGGUUGAUCAUCGAUCCCAUCUCUCAUAUCAAAUUAUCAAUAGCAGUGGCAGUGACAUGUCUAAUCCUUAUUUGUUGGUUGGUUAGUUUCGUUUCGAACUAGUCGAUCCUGGCCUCUGAUCACUCUAAUUCUUUUUGCAUGCCUUUCCUUACUCAUCCCUUCAUCUCCGAUGGACUUGUCAUUCAUGAAAUGAUCCAUCGAUCUCUUCAAGCUCUCCCAUGCCAUCACUCUUUCUUUCUUUCUUGUCAUCGAUCUCUCUGUCUCUCGAUCUGCCUUCCUUCCAUAGAAAAAUGAGUGUACGUACGGCACUGUUUUUAACUGCAGUUAACAGCCUGUGACCCCUGGACAAUAAUAUAGCUUUGCUUUUCUCAGCUGCAUGCCGACAAAUAGACAAAACCUCUUCCAUUAGUUUUGCUUUUCUCUUUGUUUGGUCCGGUCCUUUCCAUAUUUCCUUUUGUUGUAUUUUUCAAAUCUGCAGAAGAACCACCACAUAACAUAUUUGACCUAAUUAAUAGUAAGGGUUUUUUUCUAUCUUUUUUUAUAAUGCUAAAAGACUAAUUACAAAAUAGAUCUCUGGAAGCAAUCUGCUCCAAAGAGAUCAAAAUUAACAGCAAGCCCUACGGACAAGAGAAAAUCCGACUCCCAAUAGCUAGGCCUUGAAAGCUGGUGACCAAGAUUUGCUAGCGCGUUGUCAGCGACGUUAGCUUCGCGAAGAACAUGAUAAAAGACUAUACUCUGGAAAGCGGCAAUACUAUUGAUGUUUUGGACAAGUUGCAGCAGCCUCCACGGACACUUAAAGUUUCCCUUGAUACGGUUGAUAACUAAUGCGUAGUCACCUUCCACGAUCAAAUCUUGGAAUUCCAUUUCAUGAGCUUUGAGAAGACUAUCUCUUAGAGCAAUGACUUCUGCAAUGUGAACGUUUGUCUUCCCAAUCUUUUGCGCAUAAACAAUAAUAGGGCACCCAACAUCGUCUCUAAGGAUAAAACCAGCAGUAGCAUCAGAUGUUUGUUGUAACAUCGAACCGUCAAAAUUAAUCUUUAUUCUGCCAUGAGUAGGAGGAUUUCAUUUGAUAUUGGAGCCUACGUACUUGUGUUGUUGAGGCUGAUACUACUACGAUCUCUAGGAAUGCAAUUGUAAGUGGCUGCACAAGCAACAACUGCAUGCGGAGAGAAACCCUUGUUCCUGAAAACAAGAUCAUUACGCUUUUGCCAUAUCUGCCAGCAUAAGGUAAGAAUUUUUCCAAAGUUAUUCGCAUUGAACGGACUAUCUGCCAGCAUAGGAUUUUUUCCUAUCGAAAAAAUGGUAAUUAAGGGUUUCUCAAUUGAUAUUAUUGCUCAUUCAUCAUAUGAGUAAUCAAAGGCCAAAAUGACACUACAAAAUCUCUAGAGAUGGGAAAAUCAUACUAUUACACUUAAGACUCAUAUCAAAGAUUGCUUACGCUAAGCACAUAAUUGAGACUAUAAAAUUGCGAACAACAAAAAAAUAUCUGAAAACAUAUGAAAAUAACUAAAUAACUUAGUUACAUAGUAGAUCUAUGGAAAGUGGAAACCCACCAAGGAAGAGCCUAAACCCACAACUCAACAGACACAAGCAAGAAAAUCGGCCCAGCCACGUCCCUCUGCGCUCACCUUCGUCCCACAACAACCUCUGUUACCGUUCCUAAAACCCGAUCAGUCACCGCCAGCAACUAGAACACCUUUGCACUUGGAAGAUGAAGAGCGAGCCUUUCACCGGCCUGUAGUACUGAACAUCCAACACUUUGGGAGUUCACGAUGAAGUCCACAAUCAAACCAUUCCAUCAAAAUUGAGCACGCACAACAAACCUCCCACAUAGUUUCCACCAAGAAAUAGCACCAAAACGUAACACAUAUUCGGCAACAUACAUCACGUCAACAAUGCUAGAGACCAGACCAGUUGUGAAGGCGCUACCGGAACGGCGAGGAAAUUGAUAAAAACCUACCUCGGCUUUUGGAGAACUCAAGGUGCAGAGCGACUAGAAAAAACUAAGAUAUGUGUAACAAAAUUUUAUAUCAAAUUAACAGUACUUAAUUAGUAUAAUAUAUUGGUGAGACGUGGUCUGUUGGUUAGCUAGCUUAACUGACACCCCAAAAGUCAUUUUCAAUCUCUCUAAAACAUGUAAAGGUGGGUUGGGCUUAAGGAUUCUAAUAAAAAAAUAUUUAAUAAUUUCUACUAAGCUUUUUAUGAACCUAUUUGGUAUAGUUUUGCUUUAAAAAAAAAAAUUGUUUUUAUCUGCAUUUUUAGAUUUUAUAAUGUUUGGUAAAUUAAAAAAAACCAUUUUUUUUUAUUACAGGUCACUAGCUAGGUGCAGAAUGUAGAAGCAACCUCAACGUUUCUUUUGAAAGUUGUUGGCAUUAACACAAAAAAAUAAUAUUUUAUGUCAUAAUAGCACUUUCAAAAGUAAUAUUUAUCAAGUAAUAAUUUUAACAACAAAAAGGUAUAUACCAUUUUUUUCUAACACCUAAAAAGCGUUUCUCUCUCUAGGUUUUCUCGACCUAGGGUUCAGAGUUCUCGGUGGGCAAAGGGAGAGGCGGCGGCAGUCUGAUUCUCGACGUUGACCCUAGGAGUGCAGGUACGAGCGGUUGGUGACGCGUUGUCAAAGCCGAUCGUUCUCUGUCCACGUGGUUCUAAGCGAAGGACGUCAGAGAUCUUGCUCCGGUGGGUCGACAUCUGCUUUGCUAUUUUGGAUUUUCAAAUGUUCAGGUACGACGAUUGGUAAUUUGAUUCCGGAUCAUGACAAGGUUUGAUUAACGACGUCUUGUCAUUGAUUCACUCCAGGGGGAGACAAGUUUUGGUUGCUGGCGGUCUGGGUUGCUAAGGUCGGCAGCUGCUUGGGGUAGGGACUCUCUUGGCGGCGGGAUUCUUGGCUUGUCUGCCUCCGAAUGAACCAAUGACAGCGGCGAGCCAUGAUGCUUCGUGAAAUCGGGCUCUAUGACUGGGCCUGAGUUCAGUUAUUGGGCUUGGUUUUCUUUUUAAUUAUUUUUUGUGAUAUGUCCUAAUGAGUGUUGUCUACUCUAUGAAUCUUUUGUUGACAGCUAGAUCCAUUUGUACCAUAAUUGCGUGCUAGGCAGAGGUAAGAGACUAAAUGCAUAAGGAGCGAGUUGUAAGUACUUAGUUGGGCUUACUAUAUAAUUGAGCGUAUCCGUGAUUUUAUUAGUCUGUUAUUACAUAGGUUAGGUCGAUUUUUCUGUUUCUUGCUUAUGUACGACAUCUAGAUUAUAACUGAUUUGGCUAUCGAUAUAUUUUUAUCAACAAAUCUUGAUUAAAAAAAAGUAAUAUUUACCCAUUUAAUAAAAAAAAUGUACCAAACAUAAAAUUGUCUUUAUUCACAGCUGAUUAUUAUCAUAUUACAAGAGCACUAGUUUUUUUAAAAGUCGCAGCAGUCUCAAGCUUGCCCUAUGACUGGUCUUGACUAUGUCCAAUUGUCCAUAUGAGAGAGAGAGGUGCGUGUGGAACCAAAUUAGUUUCUCAACACAUGGUUCAUGAUUGGAAAAAAGAAAAAAAAAAGAAAAAAAAAGUAGACGAACAAACUUCUAUGAUUAUCAUUUGUGCUGUUAAUGAAAUUUUCAUCUCGAAUAAUAAAACGUGUUGUUGCUUCAAAUUGAUGCCGCACAGAGUCAUCAAAAUUUAAUUUGAGUCUUUAGGUAAGGCUUGUUGAUCUAGUGAGAAAUAGUUCUUGAAGAAUUUGAGUACUCCCAGCAAUUCUCUACACUUUGAUGAGGAUGGGACCGGAAUUAUUUAAUGAUCCAUUGAUUUUCAGACCCUCCAAAUCUGCCAACAAAGUAAGAGAAUCGAACUUUUCCGGUAGCAAUCGUCAAAUCUUGUUCAAUAAUCUGUCAAGCAGUGAAAGUGGAUAGCCAAUCUACAAGUGAUUCAUUGGCAUUGAUUGGUGUUGGGGAAGAAUACACACAGCUCCAGACAGCAUCAGUGAUUGCUUUUGCUACUGCUGUAACAGUUCUAUGAAUUACCUUUUUCUUUUGCAUUGUUUAAUCAGAUCAUACUGUGAUCCCGUUGAUGUAAAACUCCAAGUUAAUUCGCCAAACUCAACUUGCAUCCCUGACCCGAUCACCCUGCUGCUCCCUGGACCCGUAAGUGUCACCAGAAAUGUCUCUUCACCAUUCACCAAAAAAAAAAAAAAAAAAAUAACUCUUCACCCCUAAGCCACCCUUCCCCCCUUAGAUUGAACAACCACACACCAUUUCACUUUUUUCUUUUUUUUGUAUGUACUUCUCAUACCAAAAUACCUUCUCUUUCUGACGCCCGGCCUCUUCCCAUAGAAACCUGCUGAUUAGUUCUUGCAACAAGAAAUCAUAGCUAUGCAGAUAUAUUUUCCAUGAAUUUGGGAUGUAAAGUUGAAAUUAGGAAUAGACAAACUCCUAUUGUUGAUAUUUGUAACAAUGUGAAACAUACAAGUCAUUACAGGGGAAAAAGGAGUGGCUCUGUGUUAUACUCCAAAGAUCAUGACUUGAAGCAUGUAAACACCCUACAACGACAUUCAUCUAAACUAUCAGGACCAUGAGUUCACCCCAGAGACCAAACAUGUAUCAAGGUACGAUAAAUUUAACAUCUAUUGCUAGACAUUAAGCUCCACCUCCCCCCAAAGAAAAAAAACACAAGAUGAAAUUUACAUCUUCAGGAAAAUAUAUUGGCAAAGCUGUCGCUGAUACAUUUCAGACAAUUGCCCAAAACUUCUUCCUACAAAUUAAUACGGUUUCACUGUUCUUCUUUAUGUUGUCCAGCACAUGUGAUUCAACCUCCCACAAAAAUUUUGGAGCAAGAUCCUUGAUCGUUGAUGUAAUAGCAUCCUCAUCUCUAAUGAUAAUAAAUCCCUGUACAUCAACACAAUACCAUUGUGAACUAUAUACAGUACAACUUGGGACAGAAACAAGUUGCACGCGAUAUAUUUUGGCAGGCCAAUAACUAAAAGGAGUCUUAAAUAAAGUAAUCCACCAUUUGCUACAGCACCAAAUGCUAAACAAUAAUUGUCGAGAAAAAAAAAUGCUAAACAAUUUUAAUGGAAGAAAGACAUUAGCAUGAAACUGUUGUGUGAAAACAGCAGUUUCAUUCAACUAUAAAGAAAAUUUGAAUAUGAAUAAACACAUUUGAAUGUAAGGUUUCAAGAAGUAGCUAAACUAAAACAGCAUCUAUGCGACACAGAAUGGCCAGUAUGAUAUUUGAUAGACUCAAAUGGUGUGUCGUAAAGUUAUUUAUGUUGACAUUUGUUUAUCUUUUGGUUUUCCAUGAUAUGGAAUAUUAAUGUAUGAAUAGCAUCCUAGAAUCAUUUCACUAAGGUUCUGCGGCUUAUGUUGAAUGGACUUGCUGAAUGGAAAACAGUUAUUCUUGACUCUUGGUUAUCACUCAUACGUUUCUAUAUAUUCUCUCUAAACCGCUGAUUUUCCUUCUCUUCUAAAUCCCAAGAUUCUACAUUCUGUCAAUCCGCUUGGUGUUACACUGAAAAGGACAAUGACUAGUAUAUUCAAGAACAAAUAUUCAGAAGAAACACUUCCCUAUAUUGUGAUCCAGUAAGCAUAAUGGUAAAGAAAUAGUUGGUCAUGAGUACGUAAAACUAAAAUCAUAGUGUGACAAAUGAAAUGAAAAGACUAGAAAGAGAAAGAGACCAACACAUCCUCAUAAAAGGAGAUAAACAUAAUAAGAUGGAUAGUAGGAUUGUACAAAACCAGCCUUUCUCAAGUGCGGACGUCCGCACCAAAGUUUUGGUGCGGAUUUCCAUUUUUGCAUCACUUCCCGAUCGAAUUUCCUCAAACUUCCUUCUAGACACAUCUAGAUCAUCUUGUGUCGAUCAUCUCUGCAAAAUUUCAGCCAAUUUGGUGAUGGUUAAGGCCCUCAAAAUCGAAANNNNNNNNNNNNNNNNNNNNUCUUGUAAUUCACCUUUAUAAUAGAAUGAGAGAGUUCCUCGUGAGCCUUGUUAUUUGACAUUGUAAACGUUGGUUACCCUAGAGGUUUCUUAUGCAAUUUCUUUUUUCUUUUAUAAAAUAAAACAUGUUUUAUUUGUCGUGUCAGAAAAUUGUCGAUAAACAAAAUAUAUAUAUAUAUAUUUAUAGAUAUACAGGAAUUCUCAGGUGCGGAUGUCCGCACCUAAGUUUUCGUGCUGAUUUCCAUUUUUGCACCACUUUCUGAUCGAAUUUUCUCAAACUUCCUUCUAGACAUAUCUAGAUCAUCUUGUGUAGAUCAUCUCUGCAAAAUUUCAGCCAAUUUGGUGAUUGUUAAGGCCCUCAAAAUCGAAAAACAAAUCUGAUGGACUGAAUUCUGUACGGUUCAUCAUCUCCAUUUGUUUUUCGAUUUUGAGGGCCUUAACGAUCACCAAAUUGGCUGAAAUUUUGCAGAGAUGAUCCACAAGAUGAUCUAGAUAUGUCUAGAAGGAAGUUUGAGGAAAUUCGAUCGGAAAGUGAUGCAAAAAUGGAAAUCCGCACCGAAACCUUCGGUGCGGACGUCCGCAGCCGAGAAGGCCUGUGUACAAAACUGCCAGAAUAUAAAAUCUAUGCACUGAACAUGGAGAAUAAUACCUAUUCACGUUAGGAUCUACGAAUAAUACUAACUGCUAAACAUACUGAUAACAAAAGAUCCAUGGUAGAGUACAAUUUAACAAUUACUACGCUGCACAAGAAUAAUACCAGGGUAGCCCCCCGGAUGAAUAAAUUAGGGUAGUUCAAACUGGCUCAGUUCAAUCCCUAGUAGUGUCAGGUUACUUGGAUUGAAUUACAUCAAUGUCCAAGGCAUCCUUACUUAGGGUUCUAGGUUUUCUAGGUCUCUAGGCAGGGUAGCACCCUUUAUGGGUGAGUUACUGUGUAUUGUAUGCCUCUCUCUACUUACUUAAUGGAUUGACACCCUUUUGUUAAAAAAAGGAAUAAUAUUAUGUCCAAUAACACAAAAGCAAAGAAAGUAAAUUAAAAAAGAUAAUUGGCUGAUGAGAAGUACGUUCAACUUAUAGUCAAUGGGACUAAAGCAAGGAAAAGGUUGGUAAACUAUUGAUGCAACUUGGAAUGAAAAGUAUGCAGAAGGUAAUUAAUUUCCCAACCUCAGCAUGACUAGAGAGAAUGUUUUCCCUACUCUUGUAAGAUAUAACAUAAAUUUAUGUCUUUGAUACUCGAACACGAACAGUUAACACUAAUAAAAAAUGUUACCUGCGGUCUUAUCAUCCUGUCCAUUUCCAACAGGAUAUCCUCCAACAAGCAGCCUUCUCCACAUUCCUUAUAAUGAGAGAAGAGGAAGUUGGCAUGCAAUAGAUCAUAUGUGCGUGGAUAAGUAGAAAAUGGUUCACACCUGAAAUUAGAUAGGGAUGAGAUGUCACAUACUAAAUUUGGGGAUUCUCUCUGUAUUUAUUUUCUUUUAUUCAUAAUUUGAACCAACAAAUUUGAUACUCAGAUUCUAGAAUCAAGACGUCACAGACAAAGAACAUACCAAUCAUGGAAAGCACCAAUCAGACCACGGUCAUAAAUGGCAGACAAUGUAUUCUUCAUGGUUGCAGGAACUAUAUUCAUCACCCACAUCGGUGAUGAAUCUAAGGCCACAGCAAAUCCACCACAAAAAGCAUUCAUGUCCAUGACAUUUCGUAUUUCUGUCUUGUUCACAUUCAGCAGCCACCAGUAAUGCUGAACUUGAUCUUGCCAAAAGACAGUCUCCGAAGUAAAUUCCUCUUGACUAAUACCUAUUAUGAACACAAUAAUGAGGAACUUGUUCAGACUGAAAAAUAUUUAUUUUUCAAGUUCAUAAACAAACAAAGAAAGUAAAGCGCUCUCCAGUAUUCCAAGUUCUCCAGCCCUUAUAUUAACAUCAUGAAAUAAAGCUGCUCAAAAUUUGGUUUAAUUUUGGACAAGAGGUUUCCACAGCAGGAUCAAGUGAAUAGAACUUGCAGGCUACAUAGUAUAACUCUAUAAUUUUACUCUGCAAGCUCAACCUUUUUCUCUAGAUCCCUCCAUAACCUUUUUCUCUAGAUCCCUCCAUAACCUUCAAUGUGUUGGAAGCUCAACAUUUUCAGAAAAGAAACUUGACAGAAUAAAGGAAAUAAAGUAAAUUUAUCCAUAGUCAAGUACUAUUUGUCUAGAGAUCAAGAAUCUAAGUACAACAAAAUAUAGCUAAGUAGAAGAAAAUUUUAGGUACUUAUAUGGAUAUAAGAUUGACCUGGGCCUGGAGAUAACUCUUAAUGUGUGUACUAACCUCAUAUAACGAGGGAAUAUGCAUCAUCAAAACCAAAACUUGUCAUUCUUAACUUUAAUUUGGUGUUAUAUGCAUGAAGUUGCCUCAUGUCAACUUGGGAAGUACUAAAGACAAUAGAUAGGAAAAGUAAAUAAAAGAGAAUCGAAAAGGAGAAGCAGCGAACCAAUUUUUUUAAGACUCUCCGAGUAUAUUGAUAGACGAUCUGGUUUAGAAGGGAGUUUUGGAGCAUUUGUUUGCAUGCCCCUUACUUGUAUACAAUUUCCCAGUUUUGUAUUCCAGAAUGACUUAGAAUCAUCAGCAGCAUCACAUAUAUCUAUAAGCUUCUGUUCAGAAAUGCGCUGAAGGCAUGCUGGAUCUUCUUGUUUCAUCCAAAUAGCAGUCUGAACUCUUUUAGCAAUGAGUUUCCAACACAUUGCCGAAGUCAGAUUCACUAACUUCUCCCAAAUUAUUGGAAAGUCUUUAUCCUUUCUAUAAGCAGGUGGUGCUGAAUAGACGAAGUACCCAUUAGAACGCAGAAGGCGAUCCACUUCUUUUAGAAGAAUACCAUCUGCACAAAAAAGAUAUAAGGAAAGGAAAACACAGCAUAAGACCACUCAUUACAAAUAUAGUAAAUUAGUGAUGAGACUGAACACACUGCAAGAUCUAUGAACAGUAAUGUUAAAGGUAUUCUCACCAAAUCUAAUAUUGCUUAGUUAUACCUCAUAUCCCAGCACAAAAAUUAUCAUCAUUUAUUCUUUUUAUAGCAUGCCAAGCAAAUAAGUCCAGAUAUAUUGCUACAACUAACAUGAACAAUGCUAGUUCCAUUUGUCAAACUUGAACAUAAGAAUUCGGUAUGGAAAUCUUUAGAUACUGUUCAUAUGAUCUUUCAUUCUUUUGUUAUCAACACAUAUCAUCUCGUGGAGAAGUUGAAGUCUUAGCGUAUUUUUACAUUUAGACUUCUUUUUCCUUUUCAAAUAUAUUUGUGUAUGGAUACCAUGUAGAUCACCAAUAGUCCAAUACAUAUGAAGUAUAUAAAAGACAGUUACCAUUUUCAUGCCAAUCAACACGACACCUAGAACAAUGAACCAUCUCAAACGAGCUACUGGGAUAUGGCAACUGCUUUGUUGCUAUUGCCGAGAUCAUUGCACCAAUGCCACGCUCUAGAGAAAACUGAAUUUGAUUCUCAUGUCCAUCCUUGGGAGCAAAGGACAUGGUCUGUACACCCAAGGGAAGAAGGAAAGCAGAAAAGCUGGAAACCCCACAACCAACAUCCAAAACUUGAACAACCCCUGCAGUACGCAGAUCACCUGAAUCAUUGGUUAUCAUAUUUCCCAAUCUGCAAACGCCAGAACAAUCUAUUAAAGUAACUGAAAUCAAGAUCCAGACAUUGAAAUUGAAAUUGAAUUUCAUCUUAAUUAGUCUAUCAGUGGAGAUUAUAUGACCAAUCAUGUAUCACAUUUAUUAUUCUCCCUCCCAAAACUUGCAUUAUAUUAGGAACCCUUUUCACAAUAUGAUGAAUCAGAUCUUCAAUUAAUGCUGCCCCCAAUUUGUAUAGGGUGAUUGUCAACUUAGGUCCUGAAUUGGAAUCAACAUAACCACAUGACAGGUUAUAUAACUAAAAUGUCAUAUGCACUAAAACCAACAGGUCAAGUUUGUAAACAAAUUGAAUGCAGAUACCUCUGAAUGUAUUCAGGUGCACCAUGUUUAAAAUGGGUACCACCACCGGGGAACCACCAGAGUUGAUCCUUCUCAUGAACCCAAUUCUGUCCUCCUUUGACUUCAGCAAGAUGAGUAUGGUUCACAUUGCUUCGCCACACAUAGUCCCUGCUGAUUGGCCAUCUUAUAGGAAUCUUAUAAUCUCUGGGUGGAGGAACCAAGCAAAACAAGCGCUGUUGAACUGGAGGGCAGUGUCUCUCUAGUUCUUCUCUUCUACUAGUGUCCAAACUGGGGAGCAAAGUUUGUAUGUAUGAUACAUUAUGGCAAGGGAUAUAUUCAUUGAAACUCGAGGGACAAACAUCCACACCAGUCUCUGGUAUCACGAGUGGUGUUCUUCUAUAUGUUAAUUCGACUUUGUUCGCAAACGAGGAAGUACCUGCAGCACCAGAAUGAGAGCCCAAUAAAACUCAGAUUUCUUCAACAAGCCUUAUAUUGAAUCUUGGAGCUUACCAGGAAAUGAGAAAUUGUUGCUGAGCUGCGAGAAGUAAUUGGGAGCAUUUUGGCGAAAGAGAGUUCCAGCAUAGAAGGACCCAAGCAUUAAUAGGAGAGCUAAGGUUAUCAUCUGCCAUGACUCUAAUUUAAAAGCUGAACCUCCUCCCAUUUCCUCAAUUACCCAAUUGGGUUGAUUUACGGAGGAAUCGAAAUGUGCUUUUGGGGAGUGUGAUCUGAGGGUUCUAGGAUGAACAAGGAUUUGAUUCAGAUCGACAUUGUCGCCGAAUCCAGUGCUGAGCUCUGGUUCAGUUUUACUUCACACGAUAUGUGCACGUGCCCCCUCCGAUGACGUUUCUAGAGCAGUUGUAUAGUUAAUUUAUAAUUUAACUAUCUCUACUACUAUAAAGGAGGGAAGCCCUUCAAAGUUUCACCAAAUUAUGUUCUUCUUAAAUUAUCUUUAUUGUGUUUAAUUAAAACAAUUAAGUAAACUAAACAUUGUAGUAAAAAGUAAAAAAAUAAAAUAUCAAAAAUAGAGUAGAUAAUUGUGAAAAUUAGGAAGUUAAAAGUUUUAACUGCAAACAAGAAACUCCCCUGCAACAUUAAACUCCCCACUAACUUCACAAAAAGAAAAAACAGCUACAAAUGAGAAAAAUAACUACCUACUAACUAUAACUUCUAUACGCGAGUUUCGCGUGUAUAAAGGCUAGUAGUUAGAAAAUUUAGCUAUUUAUAUAACAAUUUAGCUAUAGUAAUAGUUAUUUAUCAAUUCUGCUUAAUAUUUUUUUGGAAUUAGCAAUCUUUUAGGCAUAUUAUUAGAGCUCUGUUGUAGAGAGAAUAGAUAAUCAUCAUCUUAUUCAUAUGAUAUGAGUCUUUUAUAUAGGGAUUACAUAACACAUUUAGGCGUUGUACAAGGAAACAUAACUUUGAUAUCUUAUUUCUAUACGGAAUCAGGAUUCCUUGUUUAACUAACAUUAGAACAAGGCACACACAUGUGCAAUAUUUCUACAACACUCCUCCUUGUGCCGCGUGUCUACAUGUCGAAUGGUGCAUACGGUGUUGCCUCGUUAAAACUUACCAAGUAACAAAAACCAUGUGGGAAAAACUAAAUCUUGGUCAAAGGAUGAAAGAGUAUAACGCAUCAACUACUUCAUUGAGAACUCGAUCAUGUGAUGCUCCCCCUGAUAAGUAUCUUAAUCGAAGAGACUUGAUAAACGUCGCAUUCCAAUGUUUUUCACAUGUUUCUCAAAAGUAUGUCAUGUGUAAUGAUUAACCUUAACCAAACAUGUUCAUGAAUAACUUCAUGUUGAUCAAUGAUCUAUGCAAGAGACAAGCGGUGUAUGUGAUGUUGCCUCAUUAAAAACCUUGUCAAACAAAAACCCAGUAGGACAAAAGUUUUGGUCUAAAGGAAAAAGAGCACAACAGGGUUGAUACGACACAACCGUACCCCACAUUUGAUAAUGACAUGUAUGUGCUAGACUCCCCCUGAAGUCUGCAUCUCUCUCUUAUUCUUAUAUCAAUCAUAAGGCGCAUCCUGAUUCUUAUCACGGAAGUAUCAAUAACUUAGCAUAUCAAUGCUCUUUAACAUGUCUUAAUGUGGAAUUAGAUAAUGAUUAACUAAAUCAUGUCGUAUGGACCUCAAUUCUGAUCUUUCACACAUUGAUCUUGAGGAGAAAGCUGCUUGAGAACUUAAAACACAAGUUCGUGCAGAAAAUCAGAUUCUCGAGCAGCAUGACCUUCGGGGACUAAAACAGCCAUAACUUCCUAUAGAAAAUAGAUAUCGACGAACCGUAAGAAGAUAUGGAAAGUAGAUUCACGUAGCGUUCCAACCAUAGGUAAUACACAGUUUCGUUCAUCCGGAGCUAUUCACAAAGCUCUGUCGAUUUUGGCUGAUCAAAAAAGGGCAGAUUUUCUGAUUCCGCUUUUGAUGCAUCUUUACUCAUGCAUAGUUAGUGAUGGCGUAGAUAGCGUGCAUUCUAUCAUGCCAUAUUCUAUGUAGGGAUUGAAUAAGCCCAAAUACAUUUAUGUAUUGAAAGGAUGUCCUUAUGCCAUUCCAUUGGCGUUGCGUGGGCGCAGAGUUACACUUAGCUUUACAACUUUUCAUAACGAAUGAGAGGUCAAGUCUUUCUUUGUCAUCUUCCAUUAGACGAAAACAUAUCUCUCUUUAGAGUAAAGACUUUGACUAAUCAUAGGAGUAUAUGUAGACCUCACUCUCAUUAGAGUAUCUAAACCGAUUGAUGGAAAAACAUCAUCAAUACCGUCCUCGAGUACCUUUUCGAGACCAUGUCUUCCCAAGAUCUUUUCAUUCUUAACUUCGGAUGUUUGAUUCAUAUUGGCAUCUCUUGUCCAUCAAGAGUCCAUGUAAAUCCGAAAAAAUCAACACGCAAGGGCACUAUUCAUCAUAUCCCUUCCCAAUCAAGUAGUUACUUAGUGUGUGUUCCAACCUCUCUUGCAAACGCACGCUCCUGUGGUCUGGAGCCACUUGAUUUGGGUGGAUGAAGUCUCUUCAAGACCUUCAUGUAUAUCUCUUAUCCCAUAGAGAUGUGUUUACAACCACAUUCAUAAGCUGCAUGUCCAGUUAUUCGGAAAAUACCAAACUGACAAAGUAGUGGAGUGCAAUGACAUCCAUUACGAGAGCAUAUCUCAUCGUAGUCAAUCCCAGUGCGUGUUAGUGAGAUACCUUGCGUCAUGAGGUGAGUCUAAGCUCUUGUUCUCAUUACGCUAUCUAAUGAAGACAUAUUUCACAUGGUUUAUACUUACGGUGUCAGCAUCACCCCCAAGGACCUAUCUCUUUGUUAUGCUAGAUUGCAUAUUUUCGUUAGGCCAAUCUACUACGUCGAUUUAUUAAUGAAGUGUGGUUCGAUCAAGGAGGAAAAUUUUGAUGGUUACGGAAAUUUCGACGGAAAUUUUGGGGAAAUAUCGAUUGCAGUUAAAAAAUGAGAAACUUGAUGGAAAUCUAAAGAAAAACAAGGAAAUUUUAAAUGAAACCUUGAGAGAUGUUUAUUUUCUAUAUUAUCUACUAUAUUUGAAAAGAUAACCUUGAAUAAACAUUAAUCUAUAGGGAAUUGUAGUAAUUUAAGGGGAAAAAGUAAUCACUGAAUCGUUGAUAAUUCUUAAAAAUUUACUUUAAACAUUUUUUUAUGGCUGGAAACCCAAACGAAGGCUAGGUCAUCACGCCAUACAUUUCACAUGGAAUUACAUAAGUAAUUUAAAAUCACAUAAAAGACCUAUGAGGUAUAAAAUUUUCACUAUCGUCAUCGUCUCUCUGUAUAUAUCCUUUAGUGUAUUGUGAAGAAUAAUCAUUAAAUGAUACCUCACGAAGAGAAUAAUGAAAAAUGGAAGUAGCAGAUCAUGAAAUGGAUUAGAAAGGAUUAAAUUGAUGUAGGAAUUUUUUUUGAAAUGUAAUUAUGGAAAAUUUGACUUGUUGAUAAUUAUAAAUAGGAAUUAAGAAGUGUAGGUGAAAAAUACUUAUAAGUUAAUUGUAAACUAGAUAUUUACAUAAUUUUAUAUAUUUCAGAUUCGUAAAAAAGGAAAUAUAUAUCAUCAAGAUGCAAUAAUGAAUAACUUGGAUGCUUAGCAAAGUUGGUUAUGGCAUUGAAAUUGUAUCAACCCAACCAGGGUUCGAGACAUCUUAGGAGCAAAAUUUGGUUUUGGUUUGAAUUUUAGUUUGGAGACAAGGGGACAAAGGGACAAGUUGGCCACGUGGGGUGCAGAGAAUGGAGACAAGGGGACAAGUUAAACAAUACAAAUUAGCCACGUGGGGUGCGGCCCAUGAGUUAGUGGCACUUUCCGGAAUAUUUCAAAAAUAUCGGUGAGAAAUUGAAUAUUUUGUCGAAAUAUUGACAUUUUCGAAUGAGAAUGCUUUGAAAGGCGAAAUAUCGCUGAAAAAAUCGAUUUUUUCUUCUUUGGGUUCAAUAGUAAACUCAUUAUUCCCCGUCCUCAUGUCACUAGUGUAAUACUAUUAGAUAUCUUAAUAUGGAUUGGAUUUGACAUUGAAGUGUCCCCUAAUGAUAAUCAUAAUUCAAACUACAUGAAACAAAUUUGAGUAUCACCGUUCUACGUAUUUGAGGAGAGGAAGGAUUUGAAAUACAAUAGAUAAGGUGUUUUUUAUUAAUUCAGACAUCACAUUCUUUUUGUGUUUUUUUUUUUCAUUUCUUUAUCCAAUCAUGUAUUUUUCUCCCAUUACUUACCCUCUCUCUCCUCAUUCUAUUUUAGAUGGAGUACUAGUUCAAAUAGUUUAAUAUUUAUAUUUGGCAAUCGAUUAGAAUCUGUAAUACCCCGAUAAUUUUUAAAGUAAAUGAAUAUAUAUAUAUAUAUAUAUAUUAUUGAUGUUGAGAUGUGAGUCGAAAUUAAAAUACCGUGGUAAUACGAAUUAGAUGUUUUGAAAUAUGUUUUUGAUACUUUUUUAUGUGCCUCAGAAUAUGUGUAUAAUGAGUAGUAUAUGCACAUAUACCCUCUCAAUUAUAGUAAAGUGAAUAAGUAAGAAUAUAAUAUUAUUUGAGAUAUAGUGAAGAUGGUGGUUUGAUAUUGUUUAGUAAAUUUCAAGGCUUAUGGAAAAUGAUAGCAUGAUUUUAUUUGAGAUUUAGUGGAGUUAUAGAGAAUUAAGGAGUUGGAGAAGGAUGGUCGUAGGACUAUUCUGUGUUGUUUGGAAUGAAGAACGGUAGUAUUUUUCUAUUUAUUUUAGUUACCAUAGUUGUAAUUGAGUUGAUUGGAGAGCUUGAAUACCAGAAAAUGGAAUCUCUUAGCAUAGUUUUGGCUCUUUGAAAUAUUGGGGUUAAUUAUAGAUUUUGAACUUAAUCUGAAGUUCAUUGUUGACAGUGUAGUUGAUGAGUUAUUUGGACUCAUUCAUGUUUUCAAUUUUGUAUUGAAAUUUAUAUAGGUCAAUAGAUUAAGGUUAUUAUGUUUGAAAUAGGCUUGGUUAUUUUCAAAUUGUGUUUGAAGAGCGAUAGAUUUGAAAAUGUCAGCAAGAAUCAAGUUAAGAAAAAUAUAGGGUAUAGUUUAUUCAUUUUUGGGUUAGGGUGUUACAUAUUUCGUUUAUUUCGAAUUAGACUUUCUUUUUCUUUCUUCAUUGUCAUUACAAUUAAUUUUAGAUGUCAUUUAGGUUUUUUGUGCUUUUUUCUGGUUGUUUGGGUUUUUAUUUUUUUCGUUUUGUAGUUAUUUUUGGCUAGUGAAUAAUAGGAUUGGAUUCAACAAUUGUUGGUACUUGGUUUGUCUGCUUUGCAAAUCAUUGUGCCUGACAUUUAUAAUAUAGUGUAAUCAUUCUCUAGCUUGACAAAGUGACAUUGUAUUUCAAUAAAUGGAGUCUGACUUCGUUUCCCUCAACAGAAAAAAAAAAAAGUUUUAGAUGUUGCUAGAUAUAUUAAGAAUUUUGAUGGGUUAAAAUACCCUUGUAAGAAUUCCUUCUCCUUUAAUUUGGGUAUGCGCAUGUCACCAAGAGUACACUCACUAUCUAUGUACUCUAAAUUUUUGUAGAGUAUUAAAGUUUUAAAUGCAUAUUUUUUCUUUAAGGGAAAUGCACAUUUUUUUAAGGGAAUAUUUAAAUAUUGAAUCAUUCAUAUAACGAUUUAGAUUAUGAUUGUUGUUGACAACACUAUUAGAGCAUCUCUAACAGCUCAUGUAAAACUAGAAUUAUUUAUAUUAUAUUGCUUAUGCAUCUAACGCUCUUUCCUGCCUAAAACUAGAGGUGGAUUUGGUACAGUUAUCGGCUUUUUUUUACUAGUACCGUGUACAAACCAACUUAUGAUUGGUAGACAAAAUUUGCUACCAAUACCAGCCGCCGAAGUCGGUAUACCGACUUCUCGGUACUGGCUAGUACUGGUUGGUAACGGGCCUCUAUCAAUAUAUUAAUCUGGGCCAAAAUAGUUCAAGGCCCAAUCCAAUUACAUAACCCUUCACCCUCUCAGACUCGGACCCUCCACGGCUUCCACCACCAAUUCCUCGUUGAACUUCCCACUAACCAAUUCCACCACUAAGGAAUUAGCAUCUAAAAGACAAAAACACAUGCAAAAUUCAAUAUACUAAACAAAAUCAUAUCAAAUAUCAAAACAAAGUGUAAACAGAACAAUAUGUAAUUCCACUAUGCUCAUGUGUUCACCUGUUACAGAAGUAACCUAGAUAAACCAUCACUUUUUGUCACACUGCAAAUAAAUUCACUAUCUUUUCACUGUUCCUUACAUCCUAAUUCCCAACAACCAGAUAAUUAGACUUUUUCCAUAAUUGUAUUCCUUUGAACUAAUCAACUCGACUCUAGGCUCACACGAAAUUCAAUCAGCUCAAUUAAGAUCUAAAGAGCGAGAGGUGUUUAGUACCCAUGACAGAAAUCUUGAGCAUUUUCAUGGACAUGAUUAGGGCUGGGCACGAGCCCAGACCGGCAGACUAUUUACUAGGACCGGGACCAGAUUGAGCGUACCAGAACCGGGCCGAGAUUUGUUGUUAUCAGAUGAGGGACCAACCAAAACCAGAACCGUCACAAGCCGGGCCUACAGUGUGACUGAAAAUCUGCUGCAUAAGUGCAUAAACUGCUACAUAAUCUGAACAAAAGCUUACAUACAUCCUUAUUAAAGUACAACACAAAACAAAACCUGCUACAUAAGUGCAUAAACUGUAAUCUUAUCUCUCACAAUUGCAAAAAAUCAACUUGUAAAUGAAAGGUAAAAUGAAAUUAUGCAAGGCAGUUGUGAGUUGUUAGAACUCAUAAGUCAUAACUGAAAACUCAUAACAACUUAACAAGUUUAUAUAGCAUAAAUGCAAAUGCCUUAAUGCCUUACAGUCCAAAAAUCCAAAUUCUAAAAUGCCAACAAAGCAGCUCCAUCUCCAUGACUGAACAGCAAGUAAUGAUGCAGCUCCAUGACUUCAAGUCUUCAACUUUUCAAUGAUAUGGGUUGUUGUGCACUUCACUUUUUACCUAUAAGACAAAAUGGGAAUAUUAGUGUAUAACACAUUAACAAUGUAACAUUAAUAACAUUGAAAACCUGGACAACUUCAAACCAUGACUUCAUGAACCAUGAAGCAUUAAAAAUUUAAAAUUAUACCUUUCGAUUUCUUCGAUGCAAGAACCAUCUGUUUAAGUUUUGCAGGCUGGGACUUGGCUUGGACAUCAGCAGCAGCUGGAACAUUUUUUUUUUAUAAUGUUGCAAUUGGAGUAGAAGGACCUGCUGUGUCACUUUUUUAGCAACUUUUGCUGCUUUCUUCAACUUGUUGGGCUGUGAGGUCCUGAGGGACCUGUUGCCGCCACAACCACAACUUCAUCUUCACUUUCUGUUUCUGAUACAGCCACAAGCUUUCCUUUUCCCUUUCCCUUUCCUUUUCCCUUUGCCUUCUUUUCCUUUGCCUUUCGCUUUGCAUCAUCUAAAACAAAGUUCGAAAGAAUGAAACAAAUCAAGUCCAAUUUAUAAUAUUAAUAAAAUUUUCAAGAAUGCAAUGAUGCAAACAUAUCUCUUUCCAUCUUUUCAUAAAAUUCAAUCUUUUCUUGGCUUGGAUAAUACUCAAUUUCGGACUGAUCUUUUUUCUUUAUCCAAUUUUGCACGCAAAUCAAUGCUUCCAUUGUUUUAGGAAUUAAAGAACUCCUAAAAGGGUCAAUCAAUCUAUGUCACGCCCCAAUUAUUGAAGGAUAAUUUUUCAAAAAUUUGAACAUGAUAUAACUCAAAAAUCUUAAUAUCCCAUACCUGGUCAAUGAUCUUCAAAGAAAACCAAAACUCAAAAGCAGAAAUGUAAUAUCAACAAACUCAUCAACCGAGUUAAACAUUAUAUCUCCUUAAUUACAUCAACUUCAAAAGUCUAGUAAUAAUAAAGUCGCUCACAUGAGCUUAAAAACAAACCGCCAUAAUAUAAUAAAAUAAAGUGCACAGAAACUAAAAUCCUGCCACUAUGCCUCCGCCUCAAGCUUGCUGAUCAUCACCUGCAGGUCUAACCCCUACACCAUGAAUUGGUGCACCGGGUUGUAAACAACAAAACCCGUAAGCUAAAAAGCCCGUAUGAACUCCCAAAAAUAACUCAACCCAACAUUACACAAGAUAAAACUUGUAAUUUCUGCUUUAAAACUUAGUUAAGGAAUCGCCUCAAAACAAUAAAAUUCAAAAGAGAAUAAAUAAUAAAACACCACAAUUCACAAACAAUCAAAAUCAUAAGUGAAAUCCUGCAAAAAUGAUAGUUCAGGAAUUCCACUAAAAAUCACACAAAUAAGAUUAAAGAAUCUCCUACAUUAAGCAUAGUUCAAGAGAUACUCAAAACAAGGAAGUUAAAUGACAACAAUUAAGAAUAAAGUUAAAAUCACAUAACCAAUACUUUACAAAAUACAUGUACCCAUGAGUCCUAGAUACCAAUAAGGUAUCUCCCAUGACCUACAACAAACACAUGUACCCAUGAGUCACAGAUAUUAAUAAAUACCUCUCAUGACCUACAACAACAAUUUAUAUACCCAUGAGUCCCAGAUACAUUCAGGUACCUCCCAUGACCUACACGGACAGAAGGACUAGAGCUCUAUUCCUAACCUUAACCAAUCACCCGGCCAAAGGCUUGGAACUCAGUUUAACUGUUCAAUAUCAAAUCACAAAAUAAUAAUAGCAUCAUAACCGUAACCCAUCACCCGAUUAAAGGCUUGAAACCCGGUUUGACUAUUUAAUAUCAAAUCAAAAAAUAGUAGAAUCAUCAUAACCGUAACCAAUCACCCGAUUAAAGGCUUGGAACCCGGUUUGACUAUCUAAACCACAAAUCACAAUAUAAUAAAAUCAUCAUCAAUCAACACAAAGAGCACAUCAUAAAAAUUAUAUCCUUCCAUAUAGAUAUAUUUAUACGAACAAACAUAGUUAUUCCCUCAAGAAUAAUCUAUCAAUAGCCAAAACAUUAUGAUCACAUGAACCUUAAAAAUAAUCAUAUAAUAAGAAAACUUGUUUUAACUUACCUAUGAGCCGUUGGCGAUCAAGCUCAUAUAUUUUAAAUAAACAAAAACAUAAUUUUUAAAAUUAUAAUCAUCAUCAAAAUCAUUAUCAUCAUCACAACCAUCAUCAUAAUCAUCAUCAUAAUCAUUAUCAUCAUCACAACCAUCAUCAUAAUCAUCAUCAUAAUUAUCAUAAAUAAUUGGUCCAAAGUGGACAUUUGUGAGAUGUUACUCACCUUUAUAUUCCCACUGCGUCUUCACCAAAAACACAAGGAACAAACUCACUCACAAUUCCACAAGCUACCUAAUUAGCACAAAAUAUAACCUUAUUAUCCACUUAAUAAGAAACAAAGUACCCUUAACCAACCCUUAACCUAAAGGUUGCCCAAAGGAGGGCAAUCCUUCCUCCGAGACCUCCCAAGGUCGUCGGACACUUAACAACCUAUCCAAGCUGCCUCCAAGUUCAACUUCCAAAGUUUACAACUUAACAAACCUCAAUGAUUAACAUAACACCUAAACUAUCAAAUCAACACUUAACCUUAUCACACAACAACACUCACAACUACAACAACUAGUUAACACAGCCACCCAAAUUCACUCACACUGCUCGGACGUGCUUCCACGCGGCGGCGAGAAGGCCCCACGCGCCACCCCAUCAACUUCAAAAUCUGAGCAAACUCCCAACAGCAAACUUGUAGGUCACAUCAAAUGAAACACUUUUCAUACCUGUGGCCAAAGCCAAUUCGGCCGAAAAGAGGCCGAAAAUGUCGCCGAAAAGAAACAAGGAGCAUUUCGAACUCCAAAGCUCCACGCUUUGAAUUAGGAUUCAAGGCUGGUAUCAUCGUGCUCAGAAGGACAAGAACUUCUAGAAAUGGGUAGCCUCAAACCUCGAUGUCGCCGGAAUCAGUUGGAGCUUUACCGUCGCCGGCACCAGUAACUUGCGGGCCUUGCUGCGCCGUGCACAGUACUCCAUAGGGUGUGAGGCUGGUAUGAAUAGAAAGAGGGGAGUGAGAGCUUUCCAACGAUACCAAACAAGCCCAAAUCCGUCACCGGAUGGCCGAGUUAUGGCCGGAAGAAAUUUGAGGGUGAAAAUGGAGACGGGAGAGAGAGAGAGAGAGAGAGAGAGAGAGAGAGAGAGAGAGCGCUAGGGACCGGGGGGGGGGGGUUUAUUAGGGUUCCAAAAAUAAAAACCCCAAACUUUUCCUAUUAUACUAAUAAUCCCGAAAACCACAAGACUUCCGCUGGCCAAAACUUCUUCCUACGAAGUCCGUUUUACGCGUGAUGCAUGUCUAAGAACUCGUAUCACCAAGCUCUACAACUUCCGUGAAGGAAGUUUCUCGAGAAACCCAACGAAUAAAAAGUCAACUCUAUGACCCUUAAAGAAACAAAAAGAACCCUUUUUGGGAAAUUUACGCGUCCGAACACUUCCGCUCUUUCUUCGAACCUUAAAAACACACUAACUUCUAACUCGAAAACUCCCAAAUAAUAUUAGAAACUAAUAUCAAAUUUCCGAGGUAUUACACUCUACCUCUAGUAUAGAAGGAGGACUCGGAUGCAACGGUGCUAACCUGGAUAGCAAGUACAUCCUUUGCCACAAGAGCAAGGUUUGGAUACUUGCAGCCAUUUGUCUUCCACCAACUUAGUAGACACCAACUAUCUGCUUCUCGUUUUGGUGGAACCUCGAUUGGAUCAAGUAGGUAUCUAUCAACUUCACUCUCAACAACAACUUCGUCGGAUUCAGCUAAAGCUUUUUGCCACCCUACAAUAAAAAGAGAAUACAUCACACAGUAAGUUUUAACAUUGAAAGUAGCAUAUAAAGUUAUAAACAUAAAUAGAAAGUAGGUACUACCUUCCAACAAGUUAGCCAUUUUCCCUGUCAUCUUCACAUUCUUGGACUUCUUCGACUUGAAAGAUGAUGAGGUUGUUGUUUUUGUGCUGCCGGAAACGACACUUGCUGCAGUGCUGCACUUAAAAGAUGCGUUGCCAUUGGUUGAUGCAUUGGAUGAUGUUCUAUAGAUGUCAGUUAAGGAUACCAAGAGCUCCUUAACAGAGUUGGCCUUGGCUUUUGCUUCCUCAGCUGAAUAUUGGAGCACUUGUAGGUAAGUAUGAGUUAUGUUCUUCAGCUUGAACCUAGAAUCCAAUAUUAAUGCAACCAACAGAAACUAAUUCAUGUCUUCAAUACAUCCAAAAUAUUUUCUAAACUUGGCAAACAUAUUUUUUGCCAUCUUCAACAUUAGCAAUUGAACUUCAGUAUUAGUUUCAGCCACAUGUGCAAACAGUGCAUUAAUCUCCCCUUCUAUUGCUACAAUGUCAUGAAAUGCUUUAUGAGCAGUGGGGUGUCUAGUCAUACUCAUCCUCAUUGUCACAUAUAAAAAACCCUCAAGAUCAACACAAAUAUUUUAGCCUUUUCCCAAUCCUCCUCUUAUGGUGGUCCAACUGUUGUUUUUCUUGUUGUUAGUGUCACCGGAACAUACUCUUGUUCUUCUUCCUCCUCGAUCUCAUCUUCUUCAUCAAAAUAGCUUUUAUAUUUGUUCAUUUCCUCCGCAGCCAUCCUUUCAAAAGCAGACUUCACAUCUAAAUCUAUGUCCAGCAUUAAAAAGGUAGAAUUCCAUCUUGUUGGAAGAUCAAGCGCCGAUAUUUUUUCUGUGUCUAUGUCCCUUAUAAUGUCUCCUUCUCCAUCCACACCUUGAACACGUCCAAUCUAUUAGAACUACUUCUAAUAGACUUGACUGCAUUCUUAAUUGCCGCACCACUUUUAUCCAUUAAGGACAAACCAGCCUUCACUAUGAUGUUUAAGAUGUGAGCCAAACACCUCACAUGAAUGUGCUUUCCUCCAAACACCGGUGGGUCUUCCAUGCAGCCAUUUUCCCUUGAAUGUACUCUAUCGCCACCUUAUUUGCACUUACAUUAUCGACCGAGAUAGUCAACACCUUCUCUAUCCUCCAACACAGCAAACAAGAUUCUAAAAUAUUUCCUAUUAUUAUGCCUUUGUGAUUGGGAAUCACACAAAAGUUGAUGAUUCUCUUGUGCAAAUUCCAACCAGCAUCUAUAAAGUGUGUCGUCAACACCAUAUAGUUAAUGUUCUGAAUUGAAGUCUAAGUAUUUGUCGUUAAGCACACCCUGUGACUACUUAACACCUUUCGAAGCUCCUCUUUCUUCUCAUCAUACAACUUCCAGAAGCACCUUACUAUUGUUCUCAUAGAUGGUGGAGUGAAUUGUGGGAUAGCCACCUUGCAGAAAUGCUUAAACCCUUCAUUCUCAACAUGGCUAAAUGGCACCUCAUCAAUCACAUGCAAUCAUCUCAUAAGCAGCUUGUACACAACGAUCAUUGGUCCACACUGUUUGAAGUCCCAUUUCAGGUUCAGCUUCACCAUCACGGACAUUACCAACUAUCACAGCUUGUCCGUUGUCUCCCUACCAGGAUACUUCUUGCAUACCUUCUGCACAUGCCUACGAAAAGUACUAGUACCAUUAAAGGAAGAAUCCGCUUUCAGGUCAGCAUCACAAUGCACGCAUAUUGCACGCUUCUCAUGCCCCGCGUACACUUUCUUCCCAUCUCGUUGAGUGAAGAGUUUUCUGUCAUACUUCCUGAAGUGCUCCCACACCAUUGACGUUAAUUUUGAAGCAACCUUAGGUCCAAUUGAGGUAGAACCUCUCCUUUUUUUCGGCACACCCCGCGAAAUCUCAGUUACUGCUGGUGCUUCUUCUAUAACCUCAAUUGGAACUUCUAGUUCUGGUUCUAGCACCUUGUUCUCUGGCAUCCUAGCCUCCGCCGCAACCAAAUCAUUCCUUAUCUGAGUCUGAGCUGGUACUUCUUCAAUGUCUUCUUCUGAGUCGUAACACCCAGUCUCACUAUCAGAACUGACUAAAUGGCAGCCGUAUUGUGAUGAAGACGUCGACAUCACACCUGCAUGAACUCAAGUACACAACCAGCCGUAUUGUCUCAUUGGCAACAACAACCAUAACAACAACAAAACAAAAUCGAAAACGAAACAACAACCAAAUGAAAUCGAGCUAUGCACUAAAACAACAACAACCAAAUUAAAACAAAAUCGAGCAGAUGAAUUGGCAAAUGAAUUGGCAUAUGAAUCGGCAUAUGAAUUGGCAAUUGAAUUGCUAAAACAAGUAACACAACCACAAAUCAAAUUGGCAGAUGAAUCAUUAACACAACCACAAUCACAUGAUUCACAUCUUUUAACUUUUUAAUCGAUUCAGUCAUUGAGAUUUGAGAGGAAGAGAGAAGAGAUAGAACUCAUAGAAGCUGAGAUGGAAGCGAAGGCUUACCGGAGGGCGGAGGCGGUGGGCGACUGAGGAAGAGAUGCGUGCUAGCGUCGUCGAUCGAGAGGAAGAGAUGGGCGCCAGUCGUCGUCGAGAGGAAGAAAUGGGCGCCAGCGACGUCGUCGAGAGGAGAGAAGGACUCGAGAGAGGCGAAGCUGUUUCCAAAGUGUUUGACAGUUUGACUUAGGGUUACUCAAAUUCAAUUAAUCAUGUGUGGUUGAACUUAUGGUAAUAGUAUAAGAUCGUUAAAAUUAUGAAUUAAAUUCAGUUUACCCGCAUGAGGUUUGGGAGUAACUUCAUGUUAAUCCCUAUACUUUCAAUUUCAUCAGUUUACCCCCUUAAACUUUUAAAUUUUCCUCAAGCGUGACCAAAUGUCCUAUAUUCUGUCCAAAUCGGACGUUAACUGCUGAUAAUUUUAACCUUAACUGUGAGGCCAGUAUCUAGAAUUUGGGCAAAUCGAACCUUAUAUGUCCAAAUUGGACCUUAACUGCUGAUAAUUAAAGGUCAAUUCAAACGGAAUAUUAGAAUUUGGGCACGGCAGACAGAAAUUGAAGAGUUCAAGGGGUAAACUGAUGAAAAUAAAAGUGUAGGGACUAACAUGAAGUCACUUCCAAACCACAAGGGGGUAAACUGAAUUUAAUUAUAAAAUUAUCCAAUUGUUGAACGACACAUAUGUAUCUCGGACUUUCGAACCAAAACACUUGUUCAAAUUUAGGGACCGGGACCGGCCCGGGUAUAUCUAGGACCGGCCCAGACCGGCAGAAAAGAAAGAAGGGCCCGUGAAAAAACCCAACCUGGCCCGGUCGGGCCAAUCGGUUCGGUUUGGUCUUUUUUCUCCGUUCGAGUUUUAUUCCCAGCCCUAGACAUGAUGACCUCGUCGGUAGGUUUGAGCAGGCAGGCUUCAUUGGUGCGAUUCUUAAGCUUGUUUAGAUUUGUUAAAUUGAGGGAGAUUUUGGUAUGGAUACACGAUAUUGCAAAUAAUUUUGGUGUGAGUAUCUUUGACUGGGAGAGAUUUGUUUGUAAUUGAAAUUGAUGAGAGGAGAUCAAGAAGAAGAAAGAAACGUGAGGAGAGAUGAAUUAAUGAAUAAUUGAAUAAGAAAGAAAUGUGAGGAGAGCAUCUGAGAAAUCUAGCUUCUGCAUAUAUAUUAACAACAAGAGCAUCUGCUCUAGUGGUCUGAAUCGAGUCUUUACAACGAAGAUAUGCUGGGUUCGAGUCCCGGCCUUUGUAAAAUGUUAGACAUUUUUCAUUUGUGGCGUACUAUAUACAUAUAUUGACUGGUAUACGUAUAUGUUGUCUAGUACGGUAUACCGAUGGUAUACAAAAUUUGAUACUAUAGUCAUGCCGAAUACACAAACUGGUAUGAUAGUACUGUACCGAAUACGUACUGAGUUUUUUAGUUACCAACUUGGUUGGUUUGGAUUGAGCCCAAAUGCCAGCCCUACCUAAAACGCAAUUGCGAUACAAGUAAGACCUAAACAAGUUAACAUAAGACUCAUAGAUACAGACAACUGGCAAGGACAUCUUAUCCCCAGACUAAACUGAAAUCAAAUAACAGUUUUAUCCAUCCUUUUUGGGUCGGAGCUAAAACUGCUUCCAAUUUCAUUGAAGUAUGCCGAAACAUUCCUCCUAGCAGCAUAUCUUCUCACUACUAUCUUCAUUUUUUUCUUAUCACCAAACGACAACUUAUUCAUGCUUUUUGGCAGGCCUACCUCUCUUCCACUUUUCUUGUGCCUCAUACAUCACAUGAUUUAACCCCAAACUUGCAGGUUCAAGAUUCAGACUACGCUUACCAAAUAAACUGAGGCGGAGCUUCACUAGGGAAAUGGUGGGAACAUCUUCCUAUUUUGUUCACAACAUUACUCGGUAAUUCUAGCCACAGCAACCGAACCCAGUUGCAAACAGCUCUCUCAACAUAGCACGUUGGCGAGGAUGUGGCACUGAAUCUUUCAACGCCACACACCCGACAAGUUACCAAGAACAGAAGAAUUAACGACUAGGUUUUGGCCUUGCACCGAAAACCUAGCCCUGAAGUUCUCAUGCACUCACACUAGGGUUAAAGAACCCUCUCAUGUAGAAUACCGGGAUUGGCAUAGGCGUCGUCGACGCUGCUGUCAUUUGUUUGCCCAAUGUUGUAAACUCUGCCACCAGUCAUCCUCCUGCAUAGCCGGACUAGAACAUGCCAACACUAGAUGCGUCACCAGCCCACGCAUUGAGAAUCUUUCAAAGAGUUUGUCAUAUGAAACUUCCAACAAAUUCAAUUCCAUCCUCCACAAGAUACCAUCAUUUGAACGGAAUAGGCUUGUGCAGCCACAUCUCCACCAUAAUUCACAGCAUCUCCAUCUUCUUGGCUAGCUUGUCAGUAUUCUUGUAAGUAAAAUAGAGUAUCCAACCAUUGUCAUCACUCAUUUCGAGUGAAAGGCUAAAGGGAUGUAUUGCAGAGUUAUCCAAAAAAAAGGACUUCUCAAACAACACCAUUUCGAUGGAAAUGAUGAUGUCAUAAUAGGCCAACGCAACCACCAGUGCCUGGUUGAAGCCCCAUAGACCUCCCAUCCAGAUCCAGUCACGAUCGUUCAUGUCUAACAAGGUGAACAUCACCAGUCUUCCUUCCUCUUCCUUAACUUGCAUCGUUUCAUCCAACUGCUAUGUAGUCAUGAGCAUAUUCAAAAACUAAGGCACCUUUAAAUCCCUCGUUCUGAGUAGCUUUCCCACAAGAAACACAUUCGCUUGGCUCACACCCUUUCCAUGCGUAGGCCGCAUGCCGCAUGUGGACUUGCUUGCGGUCCUCAGCUAGAACUAAGUAUUUGCCAAACGCGCAACCAUUGCAUCAAUCAAACACAUCUCGUGGAAGUAUUGAUAAAAAAAAAAAACCUUAACCCUAGAGAGAAGAGAGCAGCUCCGCUUUUCUUGUAAACUAGUAAUUACUUAAUUUUAACUAUCAAGAAAAACAAAUUUUAUAAAUCUUCACUAAUUUCUUUUUUAAGAGGUCAACCAUAUGAAAACACGUAGACUUCUUUUCAAAAAAAACUUUGACAUAGUCAGUUGCUUUGGUCUAACGGCAUAAUAUUCCCUUGUUAGUUUGAAGUUGUUUUGAGGAGGAGGAAAAGUUGCAUAUAACGUCAAAGUUUUGUUUAGAACCACUUUGCAUUCUCUGCAAACAUUAAACUCUGUAAAAUUGUAAGAUGUCAUAUGUUAAAUCCUAGCUAGACAUUUGGUUGUUGGGUUAUGUUAAUUAAACUUUGAAGUGGAGAAGUGUGGCAUCAUAAGUUCUCUUAACUGCACCUUGAGCAUGGAGCAUGAACCUUGAAGUACAUUUUACUGUAUUAGUUAUGUAGAUUGGCAUAUUGGUUGUGUAAACAUAAAAGUAAAAAGGGAUUGAUUUCAUAUUUAUGACCGAAUGGGUUCUGGUUCAAAUGGUAUUGAAUUUUCACAUUUCUCUUGGGGCUUGAUUUCAUAUGAUUGACCUAAUGGGUGCAGAUAACAGAGAGUUAUGCCUAGUUACUUCCCAAAGAACGAGUUUCCAACCACAAUGUCAUCAUUAAGUCAUGUUCACACUGAGAUCUCCCUAAUUUCAUCAUAUUCAAACUUCAUGGACUUGUGAAUGUCAUCAGUCCUUUGUUCAAAUAGGCAAUAGCACAAGGAAAAUUCUAGUGUGCAGCACUGCAUACCAUGCAGAUCUCACUAGAAGACAAGAUAGCUGAGGUCAUCUAACAUUUUUGCAGAAAAUCCAACCGGAAAACCCCUCUAGCCAGUUUUUACCCUUUUAGUUUUACCUUUAGUCUUUGUGUGUUCAGUAAAAAAAAAAAAAAAAAAAAAAAAAACUUUUAGACGGAGCAUGGUGGGCCUAUAAGUAUAAAUUUGUUUACUUAAGUACAAAUAUAGAUCUAUCAUCUUCACUCAAGGGUAAGCAGUUAAUUUUUUAAUAACUCAAUUGCUACAGCUACAAGAUUAGAAUUUUUAGCAGAAGCUAAAUUAUCCUAUAAAGAACUACAAGAAGAAAGAAGAAAUUUGAGAAAACUAAAAGAAAAAAGAGACAAGUUUCCAAGAAGUACCAAAAAUUAUUGGGAUAUUAUCUUUCAACUACAACGAAGGAUAUACGAGUCAAGAGAAGAAAUUGAAGUUCUUCAAGAAACUUUUGAAGAAGACCAAAAACCUCUUGAUAUUUUGAGCAUCGGUUAGAUCCGCCAUAGCUGGUAUCAGAGCCUGCUUGGCUCAAAAGCAGGUGACAAAAGGCUUAUGCCACAGAGUUGGCUUCUCUCAACCAACAAAAGAGAAUCCAAACUGAAAAACUAUCAGUCUUUUUGUACUACAAAAGGAACUGAUAAGUGGGAAGUGUGUUUUCAUUCAAGGCAUAUACAAGAAAAUCAAUAUUCCAUUGAAUAUAUUUGUAGAGUACUAAAUACUCUAUACGACGAGCAUAUUCAUCUCCAACAGGAGAUCGGAGUAGAAGAGCUUGAUCCCUCAAGACCAAGCUUAAUCGAGUUCUUAAAUCAUUUAUCUAAGAAUAAGACCUCUGAAAAGGUUAUAGAGCAACUCGAGAGAUUUAAUCUACGGAUUACUCAACUUGAGGAAAUAAACUCAAAAAUUAGCAAGCUUGAAAUCAAGCUAGAUUACCUCAAGGAAAAACAAUAUCUAGCAGAUAUUGAAAAGAAAUUAGUUCGUACUGAAAAUCUUGCAAACAAUAUUCAUCAGCAAGCAGUAGAACUAAGGAAUACUCAAUAAAACUUGAAAACGCUUUUAGAAACUCUCAUUACAAGAAUAGGAUGAAUCUGAAAGUAGAUCUAAAAGUAAAGCAAGAAGGUGUUAGAGCUAUUGGCUUUCAUCAACCUACAGAAAAACUUGCCGAGAAUGUAGAAGCAAUAAUCCUUCAGCAGAAUUAUAACAUCGCUUAUCUCCAAAAGAUAGGUACUGACCUCGAAAUUCAAUUUCGAGAGUUACAUAAUAGAAUCUCUAGUCUACAAAAGACUUUAGAGAAAAUGAAGGAAGGAGAAAAUUAUGAAAGAACUGAUGAAGAAUCACUGGCUCAAAGUGUAGCUAGUAAAAUCAUCAUAAAUUCUCCACCCCUACCAAUGGGAGAAAGUAGACUAAGGUUUAGUGAACCAAAGUUACUUGAAUGGAAAUCUACAAAACCAGCUACCAAAAGAGAUAUGAAGAUGCUAAGUAGAAUUCUUAGCAAAAGAAACAUAGCUCUAGUUCAGCUGAUAAAUGCUCAAGAAUUUGAGUAGAAUGAAAUCGAGUCUAGUGUAAGGGAAGCAUCUGCCCCUAGAUUUAGAUUUAAUGAGAUCUAUAAGAAAGGAUCUUUCCUUAUGGAUUCACACAGAUUCAAGAUUCUUGAAUUAACCGUUCCUGCCACAGGAGGAGAAACAGAUAUCAGGCUAAUAACUCCAAAAGAAGUAAGUGAAGCAUUCCAGAAAAAAUAUUCCUAUAUGCAUAUUGGUGCGGUUCAAGUAGGAAUAAAACUCUUAGCCAGAGAUGGUAUUGACUGUUCUGUUCUAUGUGUCUUACAAGACGAUAGAAUAACAGACUUCAAGAAAAGUCUGUUAGGAAUAGUAGAAGCUUCUUUGUGCAACCAAGUUACAUAUUUCAAUGUUUUUCCAAACUUCACAACGCAUCUCAAAGAUGCUACUCACUGUCUAAGACUAAGAAUCAAGACAGAUGGGAUUUCUAUGAAAAAAGGAAUGAUGGAACUAGCGAUAGAUUAUCGCAUCUAUUAUAAGUUGAUGAGCUCAAAUGUGACUCCUAAUACCAGGUUUCUGAAUAGCCCUGGGAUUACCACAUCUGUUCUCACCAACCCAAAAAAUAAUUCUCAGCAAAAACAUGUCACGAAAUGGCAUGAAGUAACAUUCCCAAGAGAACGGAAUCUGACCCCUCCGGUCAGACAGCUUGAGAGCUCCAAUGCCUCAGUCUAUGAAGACAUGGGAGGAAAAAUCAGUAUACAAUUUCAUAGGCACUCUUUUGCAAAUUAUGAAGAAGCUAGUACCUCGGAAACUAAAACGGUUUAUAACGAAGAAUCUCUGGAAGAAGAGGAUACUAAAAGACCUAUGAGGAUGUUCCAAGCAAUGGAAUUAAAAGAGUUAUAUGCACAAGCUGAGACUUGUGAUUCUCCAGAAGAACUAGAGAAGAUUAUCAAAGAAAUUUCUCAAGUUCAACUUGGAAAGAAAAAGAGGAAGAUUCUUCCUUAUCAAGCAGCAAAAGAUGAACCAGAGCCAUCAGGAGCAUCAAUGGAGACAGAGGAUGAAAGACAGACACCUCCAGGAGGUGGUCAUACUGUAAUACAGAACAUCACCAACAAUCCUACAAAGAUUAUUCGAGAAAAGAAUAUCAAGCUUCCAAAAGGACAAGCUCCUACAGGAAGAUAUGGAGAACGAAGUUCUCAGAAAUACAUCCCUACAGAACCCAAAUGGGGACAAUCAGUGUCCGAGAGAGGGGUUUAUCUGGAUUUGGACCAGGUAUGAGAUAAGAGAAAAGUCAUAGACAACUGGGUUGCUAGUUUAAAGCUAACUCAGGCCCUAGUGUUAUCCAAAUAUGCCUAGAGGAAGCUCAUGCAUACUAUGAGUCUACCUUAACUGGAAUAGUCCAGAAAUGGUAUCAGUCCUUCAAGAGAAGUUCUCAAUGGACUGAUUGGGCAGCAAAAAUGGCUCAGACUAAUAAUCCUUUAGAUUUUGCAGUCCCUAUCUACGCACAAUUUUGCGGAGAUAUCACUGGACAUAGCAAGCAAUCUAAAGAAAGAGCUAAAGCAAAUAUUCAAAAAUUGAGUAUUUGUAACAUGAGGUAUUUCGAGAAAUAUACCAAUGAGUUUCAAAACUACUACUGCACCAUCGGAGACAUUGAAAAUAAUGAUCUCAUCAGAACAUAUUACAGAAAAUUGCCAGAACCCUGGAAUGAUGCAGUAGCGCAAUCAUUGGAAGAAAACCCCCUUCAGUAUUUUAUUGUUGGAGGAAUAGCAGAAAGAGUUAGGGAUCUCCUAAGAAAACAAUGUACAGAGAAUAGAAAAUCCAAAACUGCCAAGGAACAACUCAGAGGAGUUGAAAACAUGUGUCCAAAGAUUUUGGAUACCCCGACACAAUGGGGAUGUCAUGUUUUGGAAAAGAAAUACAGAAGAAAAAUUCNNNNNNNNNNNNNNNNNNNNCAUUAUGCGAAUGAGUGUCCGAAAAAGGAUAAAAGAACUUCAAAAGUCUUAAUGGC